UAGAGUUUGAUCAUGGCUCAGGAUGAACGCUAGCGGGAGGCUUAAUACAUGCAAGUCGAACGGUAACAUGAGAGCUUGCUCUUGAUGACGAGUGGCGCACGGGUGAGUAACGCGUACGGAAUCUGCCCUUAAGAGGGGGAUAGCCCGGGGAAACCCGGAGUAAUCCGCCAUGUGAUUAUGGAGUGGCAUCACUUUAUAAUUAAAACUACGGUGCUUAAGGAUGAUCGUGCGUUUGAUUAGGUAGUUGGUGAGGUAACGGCUCACCAAGCCGAUGAUCAAUAGGGGGCGUGAGAGCGUGAUCCCCCACACGGGUACUGAGACACGGACCCGACUCCUACGGGAGGCAGCAGUAAGGAAUAUUGGACAAUGGGCGGAAGCCUGAUCCAGCCAUCCCGCGUGGAGGAUGACGGCCCUCUGGGUUGUAAACUCCUUUUAUAUACCAAGAAACGCCCCCACGUGUGGGGGUUUGACGGUAGUAUAUGAAUAAGCACCGGCUAACUCCGUGCCAGCAGCCGCGGUAAUACGGAGGGUGCAAGCGUUAUCCGGAAUUACUGGGUUUAAAGGGUGCGUAGGCGGUUUUAUAAGUCAGUGGUGAAAAGUCUGGGCUCAACCGA
This 614-nucleotide ribosomal RNA is filed under the name uncultured bacterium. RNAcentral's name for it is "bacterial SSU rRNA". It matches the Rfam family "Bacterial small subunit ribosomal RNA", at positions 1 to 616 of the family's 1533-position model. The record is from RNAcentral.